Molecule: unclassified non-coding RNA, 277 nt
Filed under: Hevea brasiliensis (rubber tree)
Lineage: Eukaryota; Viridiplantae; Streptophyta; Magnoliopsida; Malpighiales; Euphorbiaceae
Source: RNAcentral
UGCCGACUCUCAUCCACACUCUCCAGGUCAGAGAAAUUGACAGAGUUAAUAGCAGGUAUUGGAUUAAAAUACCCACUAUCAGUUGAAGGCAUGAUCAGGCAAUAAAGGCAACCAGGAAUAGUGCUAUGAUACUGUUUCUUUAGACCUUCCCGUAGAGCUAUUUAAUGCUCUCACAUAACAAACAAAGAACUAAACAUAAUGAUAAAAGAAUUUAGGAGUACAUAACUUGCAGAAUGCAAAACAAAAGGGUAUCAACUUCUAAUGAUUAAUCCACAUA